RNAcentral lists this ribosomal RNA (253 nucleotides) under uncultured bacterium. RNAcentral describes it as "partial 16S ribosomal RNA". It matches the Rfam family "Bacterial small subunit ribosomal RNA", at positions 524 to 776 of the family's 1533-position model. The record is from RNAcentral.
UACGGAGGGGGCUAGCGUUGUUCGGAAUUACUGGGCGUAAAGCGCGCGUAGGCGGCUUUGUAAGUCAGAGGUGAAAGCCCGGAGCUCAACUUCGGAAUAGCCUUUGAGACUGCAUCGCUUGAAUCCAGGAGAGGUGAGUGGAAUUCCGAGUGUAGAGGUGAAAUUCGUAGAUAUUCGGAAGAACACCAGUGGCGAAGGCGGCUCACUGGACUGGUAUUGACGCUGAGGUGCGAAAGCGUGGGGAGCAAACAGG